Salvia miltiorrhiza (redroot sage) is the source of this 505-nucleotide long non-coding RNA. RefSeq lists it as uncharacterized. Lineage: Eukaryota; Viridiplantae; Streptophyta; Magnoliopsida; Lamiales; Lamiaceae. The transcript has 3 exons. The record is from RefSeq and is a predicted model, not a curated record.
UAGGGUUUUCAGUUGAUUUCUGAAAUUCUGAAGCGACUUCGAAGAGGAAAUCGGAAAAAUCACGAAUUAUCAGCAAGAAUUACCAGUUUUGGGUUAUUUUUUGACAUUUGAAGUGAAGAAGACGACGGCCGAAAAGAUGACAAAUGGAAAAGGGAAACAGAAAACGUUACAAGUUCGAAGCUACAGAAAAAGCAAAAUGACAUCUGGCGAAUCAUCAAACACAAAUCCUGAUGAUGGUAAUCUCUUUCACUGAUUGAGGAGGUUUGCAGAGGAACUCAAACAUGAUUGAGGGGGUGUUGAACGAUCGUCUGGGGAAGAAAGUUCGGGUGAAAGUUCAAGUAUUGUUAUUGACUCGUUCUCGUGUUGUAAUAUUCAAUUAAACUUAAAGUAUAUUCAUUAAGUUUCAUGACUUAUUCAAAAUAAUAAUAAGCAUAUAUAACAACAAGAGUAUUAGUUAAUUUAUUCAGUUUCUUGUUUUACUUAUUCGGUUUAUAACAAAGUGGUA